GAUGAACGCUGGCGGCGUGCCUAAUACAUGCAAGUCGAGCGAACAGAUAAGGAGCUUGCUCCUUUGACGUUAGCGGCGGACGGGUGAGUAACACGUGGAUAACCUACCUAUAAGACUGGGAUAACUUCGGGAAACCGGAGCUAAUACCGGAUAACAUAUUGAACCGCAUGGUUCAAUAGUGAAAGGCGGCUUUGCUGUGACUUAUAGAUGGAUCCGCGCCGUAUUAGCUAGUUGGUAAGGUAACGGCUUACCAAGGCAACGAUACGUAGCCGACCUGAGAGGGUGAUCGGCCACACUGGAACUGAGACACGGUCCAGACUCCUACGGGAGGCAGCAGUAGGGAAUCUUCCGCAAUGGGCGAAAGCCUGACGGAGCAACGCCGCGUGAGUGAUGAAGGUCUUCGGAUCGUAAAACUCUGUUAUCAGGGAAGAACAAAAGUGUAAGUAACUGUGCACAUCUUGACGGUACCUGAUCAGAAAGCCACGGCUAACUACGUG
RNAcentral lists this ribosomal RNA (497 nucleotides) under uncultured bacterium. Its description in RNAcentral is "partial 16S ribosomal RNA". It matches the Rfam family "Bacterial small subunit ribosomal RNA", at positions 28 to 507 of the family's 1533-position model. The record is from RNAcentral.